GAUGAACGCUAGCGGCAGGCCUAACACAUGCAAGUCGAGGGAGAAGCCCUUCGGGGCGGAAACCGGCGCACGGGUGCGUAACGCGUAUGCAACCUACCUUUCACAGGGGGAUAGCCCGAAGAAAUUUGGAUUAAUACCCCAUAAUAUUAUUGGAUGGCAUCAUUUGAUAAUUAAAAUUACGAUGGUGAAAGAUGGGCAUGCGUCCUAUUAGCUAGUUGGAGUGGUAACGGCACCCCAAGGCUACGAUAGGUAGGGGUCCUGAGAGGGAGAUCCCCCACACUGGUACUGAGACAGGGACCAGACUCCUACGGGAGGCAGCAGUGAGGAAUAUUGGUCAAUGGUCGGAAGACUGAACCAGCCAUGCCGCGUGCAGGAAGAAUGCCUUAUGGGUUGUAAACUGCUUUUAUAUGGGAAGAAUAAGGAGUACGUGUACUUUGAUGACGGUACCAUAUGAAUAAGCAUCGGCUAA
This 469-nucleotide ribosomal RNA is filed under the name Capnocytophaga granulosa. RNAcentral's name for it is "bacterial SSU rRNA". It matches the Rfam family "Bacterial small subunit ribosomal RNA", at positions 28 to 500 of the family's 1533-position model. The record is from RNAcentral. Lineage: Bacteria; Pseudomonadati; Bacteroidota; Flavobacteriia; Flavobacteriales; Flavobacteriaceae.